This 638-nucleotide ribosomal RNA is filed under the name uncultured Campylobacter sp. RNAcentral's name for it is "bacterial SSU rRNA". It matches the Rfam family "Bacterial small subunit ribosomal RNA", at positions 28 to 682 of the family's 1533-position model. Lineage: Bacteria; Pseudomonadati; Campylobacterota; Epsilonproteobacteria; Campylobacterales; Campylobacteraceae. The record is from RNAcentral.
AGUGAACGCUGGCGGCGUGCCUAAUACAUGCAAGUCGAACGGACGAGUAAGAGCUUGCUCUUAUGAGUUAGUGGCGCACGGGUGAGUAAUGUAUAGCUAAUCUGCCCUACACUAGAGGACAACAGUUGGAAACGACUGCUAAUACUCUAUACUCCUCUCUAGCAUAAGUUAGAUAGGGAAAGUUUUUCGGUGUAGGAUGAGGCUAUAUUGUAUCAGCUAGUUGGUGAGGUAAUGGCUCACCAAGGCUAUGACGCAUAACUGGUCUGAGAGGAUGAUCAGUCACACUGGAACUGAGACACGGUCCAGACUCCUACGGGAGGCAGCAGUAGGGAAUAUUGCUCAAUGGGGGAAACCCUGAAGCAGCAACGCCGCGUGGAGGAUGACACUUUUCGGAGCGUAAACUCCUUUUGUUAGGGAAGAACAAUGACGGUACCUAACGAAUAAGCACCGGCUAACUCCGUGCCAGCAGCCGCGGUAAUACGGAGGGUGCAAGCGUUACUCGGAAUCACUGGGCGUAAAGGACGCGUAGGCGGAUUAUCAAGUCUCUUGUGAAAUCCUAUGGCUUAACCAUAGAACUGCUUGGGAAACUGAUAAUCUAGAGUGAGGGAGAGGCAGAUGGAAUUGGUGGGUGUAGGGGU